UACGAAGGGUGCAAGCGUUAAUCGGAAUUACUGGGCGUAAAGCGUGCGUAGGUGGUCUUUUAAGUCCGUUGUGAAAGCCCUGGGCUCAACCUGGGAAUGGCAGUGGAUACUGGAAGGCUGGAGUACGGUAGAGGAGGGUGGAAUUCCAGGUGUAGCGGUGAAAUGCGUAGAUAUCUGGAGGAAUACCGGUGGCGAAGGCGGCAUCCUGGACCGACAUUGACGCUGAGGAGCGAAAGCUAGGGGAGCAAACGGG
This 253-nucleotide ribosomal RNA is filed under the name uncultured bacterium. RNAcentral's name for it is "partial 16S ribosomal RNA". It matches the Rfam family "Bacterial small subunit ribosomal RNA", at positions 524 to 776 of the family's 1533-position model. The record is from RNAcentral.